GACGAACGCUGGCGGCGUGCUUAACACAUGCAAGUCGAACGGAAAGGCCUCUUUCGGGGGGUACUCGAGUGGCGAACGGGUGAGUAACACGUGAGUAACCUGCCCUUGACUUUGGGAUAACUUCAGGAAACUGGGGCUAAUCCCGGAUAGGAGCUCCUGCUGCAUGGUGGGGGUUGGAAAGUUUCGGCGGUUGGGGAUGGACUCGCGGCUUAUCAGCUUGUUGGUGGGGUAGUGGCUUACCAAGGCUUUGACGGGUAGCCGGCCUGAGAGGGUGACCGGCCACAUUGGGACUGAGAUACGGCCCAGACUCCUACGGGAGGCAGCAGUGGGGAAUAUUGCACAAUGGGUGGAAGCCUGAUGCAGCAACGCCGUGUGCGGGAUGACGGCCUUCGGGUCGUAAACCGCUUUCGCUCAUGACGAGGCUUUGUGUGACGGUAGUGGGUAAAGAAGCACCGGCUAACUACGUG
Molecule: ribosomal RNA, 467 nt
Filed under: uncultured bacterium
Lineage: Bacteria
Description: partial 16S ribosomal RNA
Rfam family: Bacterial small subunit ribosomal RNA
Source: RNAcentral